UAAGGAAUAUUGGUCAAUGGACGCAAGUCUGAACCAGCCAUGCCGCGUGAAGGAUGAAGGUCCUCUGGAUUGUAAACUUCUUUUAUCUGGGACGAAAACGGGAUUUUUAUCUCAAUUGACGGUACCAGAGGAAUAAGCACCGGCUAACUCCGUGCCAGCAGCCGCGGUAAUACGGAGGGUGCGAGCGUUAUCCGGAUUUACUGGGCGUAAAGCGUGCGUAGGCGGGUCGGUAAGUGGGUCGUGAAAGCGCCGGGCUAAACCGGGCGAGGACGAACUAGACUGCCGGUCUAGAGGCGGAUAGAGGGGUGCGGAAUUCCGGGUGUAGCGGUGAAAUGUGUAGAGAUCCGGAGGAACACCAGUGGUGCAAACGGCGCCCUGGGUCCGAACUGACGCUGAGGCACGAAAGCGUGGGGAGCGAACG
RNAcentral lists this ribosomal RNA (421 nucleotides) under uncultured bacterium. RNAcentral's name for it is "bacterial SSU rRNA". It matches the Rfam family "Bacterial small subunit ribosomal RNA", at positions 355 to 774 of the family's 1533-position model. The record is from RNAcentral.